This is a long non-coding RNA of Passer domesticus (house sparrow), 536 nucleotides long. RefSeq lists it as uncharacterized. Lineage: Eukaryota; Metazoa; Chordata; Aves; Passeriformes; Passeridae. The record is from RefSeq and is a predicted model, not a curated record. The transcript is spliced from 3 exons.
CACAGCAGGAGCUCUAUGACCAAAUUCCAUGGUCAAACUGAAUUCACAGCAGGGGCUGCAAACCCAAAUUCCAUAGGCAAACUGAAUUCACAGCAGGGGCUCCAAGGCCAAAUUCCAUAGGCAAACUGAAUUCACAGCAGGGGCUUCAAGGCCAAAUUCCAUGGUCAAACUGAAUUCCACCUGUUCCCAUCCCUGGCCACGGAGAACAUCCCUAGGAGUGCAGAUGGCAGAGGCUGAGCCCCCAGAAGUCCCUCAUUUCAUUACACCAGCCCAGGCCCCAAAAGCAGCUGGACAGAUGUGGGGAUGUCCCUCUUGGCUGACUUGUUCCAGGAGCAGCUCUCCUCAAAAUGAGACCAGGACACCCCAAGAUCUUCCCCAGUUCAGUACAAUCCUGCAGCCUGAAAUCUGUUUCCAGGAGAGGAGAUCACCACUAACAGCAGGGCUUAACUGUUGCAGCAGGUCCUGAGGCAGCGUUUGCCCCUGGUGACAGCGUGAGGCUGGCUCUGUGUCACAGCCCACAGACCUGACAGCCACAC